Molecule: long non-coding RNA, 310 nt
Organism: Hemicordylus capensis (graceful crag lizard)
Lineage: Eukaryota; Metazoa; Chordata; Lepidosauria; Squamata; Cordylidae
Exons: 3
Source: RefSeq, a predicted model, not a curated record
GGUCCUUAGAGAUUGGAACAAGGCUCAUAGCUCAGGGAUUGGAUAAUAUGGCAGCCUCUCUUUUUACUAUUUCCUUUACUCUGCAUAAAGGCCUUUUCUUUUGACUUAAUGACAGAAUUUCUAGUUGAUGAAUAAAGAAAGCCCAGAUUCUGCAUAGGACUGAAUAAUUCUAGGUAUGAAUCAUGAACCUACUUUUAAGCAGCUUGCACCUGAAAUCAAAGCUGUGAUACUCUGGAUUAUGGAUAUUCCCUUUGUGCUGUCAGCCAACCUUCACAGCAGAGACCUUAUGGCAAAACACCCUUACAUAAGC